RNAcentral lists this ribosomal RNA (460 nucleotides) under uncultured bacterium. RNAcentral's name for it is "partial 16S ribosomal RNA". It matches the Rfam family "Bacterial small subunit ribosomal RNA", at positions 338 to 795 of the family's 1533-position model. The record is from RNAcentral.
CCUACGGGAGACAGCAGUGAGGAAUAUUGGUCAAUGGACGCAAGUCUGAACCAGCCAUGCCGCGUGCAGGAAGACGGCUCUAUGCGUUGUAAACUGCUUUUGUACGAGGACAAACGCAGACACGCGUAUCUGUCUGAAAGUAUCUUACGAAUAAGGAUCGGCUAACUCCGUGCCAGCAGCCGCGGUAAUACGGAGGAUUCAAGCGUUAUCCGGAUUUAUUGGGUUUAAAGGGUGCGUAGGCGGUCAGAUAAGUUAGCGGUGAAAUCCCGGGGCUCAACUUCGGAAUUGCCUCUGAUACUGUUCGGCUAGAGAGUAGUAGCGGUAGGCGGAAUGUAUGGUGUAGCGGUGAAAUGCUUAGAGAUCAUACAGAACACCGAUUGCGAAGGCAGCUUACCAGGCUACUUCUGACGUUGAGGCACGAAAGCGUGGGGAGCGAACAGGAUUAGAUACCCGAGUAGUC